This is a non-coding RNA of Ceratotherium simum simum (southern white rhinoceros), 113 nucleotides long. Lineage: Eukaryota; Metazoa; Chordata; Mammalia; Perissodactyla; Rhinocerotidae. The record is from RefSeq and is a predicted model, not a curated record.
UUAGCAAUACUAAAAUUCAUAUGCACUCCCAUGUUCAUAGCAACAUGAUUUACAAUAGCGAAGACAUGGAAAUAAUCUAAGUGUCCAUUGAUGGAUGGAUGGAUAAAGAAAUU